RNAcentral lists this long non-coding RNA (5606 nucleotides) under Gallus gallus (chicken). Lineage: Eukaryota; Metazoa; Chordata; Aves; Galliformes; Phasianidae. The record is from RNAcentral.
CCUCCCUCCCUCCCUCCCUCCCUUCCUUCCUUCCUUCCUUCCUUCCUUCCUUCCUUCCUUCCUUCCUUCCUUCCUUCCUUCCUUCCUUCCUCUUUCUUUUCUUUCUUUCUUUCCUCUCUUUCUCUCUUUCUUUCUGCAAAACAACAGCCAUUUCAAAAUGUCUUUUGAAAAACCUAAUCUGACACAGUGUUCACAGAAGUAAAAGCUUUAAUAAAUCCUGCUGUGGUCGAGUCAGCAGUAUCCCAAAACAGAGUAUGGGUCAGUGCAGCUAUAGCAGCUGCUGCCCUGUCAGAUACAUUCGUAUUGCUGCCUGAAACUCAAACAUUGGAAAACUCUAAGAAAAACUUUGGAAACACAUCAAACUGUGCACCAUGCUUCCACACAGCUCAGAUCAAAUAUUUUCACUUGGCAACAUGCUGCAACAAUCUCAUGAAAGCUGUUAAUAUUGACACUAAUCUCUAAGUGUCAGUCAUCCUUCUACGCUUAGGACAGGACAGGUAUCUGAUUACAGAGAACAAGCUCACACUUCAAGAAAGUAUGCAUAGCCAGGGAGGUGGGGGCUGCUUUACAACCCUCUGAACAGGCAAACAAACCAAGAGGUUUCUUUCUUCAAACAACAGUUCAGUUACUGUUGCUUGGAGUUUCUCAAUCUCUUCUGGGAUUAAAUUGAGUAAUUUCUGUUCUUUGUAAUUGAAUGUUCUGUAGAGGGGUCUUGCAUACAGAGUGCUGGUUCACAGCUGAGGAGGGAUAGUUUGAUCUGAGCGCUGUGUGGACUUGAGAAAUCAGACUUCUGUUGGAUCCGAGGGUUUGUUUUAAAAACUGUUUAGUGUCGUGUGUAACACAGAAAAGAUGACCAUGGGAAGAGAGAAAACAAAGGAGAGCAUGAAUUUGUUUUCCUUGAAAGAGAAUGACAGCAGGCAGUAAGGACAAGCCAUGCAUUGUGAUCGUCCCUUCAGCGGCUGAAGCAGCAGGAGGCUUCUUAGGCAGGGCUGAGGCUGUGCUGCUUGGGUGGCUACCCGGCCUGCGGAGCUCGUCUGCUCGCCUUCCUGGAAGGGCAGAGCAGGCAGCCAGGUGCCCUCCAGCAGUCUGCGGCUUGGAGAUCUGCUUACUUUGCCUCUGCCUAAGGCCAGCCCCAGCCUGGACUCCUUCCUCAUACGUGUGAUGGAUGAGAAAACAGAGCGUGAUGCUGCACGCAGAGUAAAGGGGGAACUGGAAUACUUGUGCUUCAUUCUUUCAGCUGUGUUUUACAGCUCUUUUAAAAAUAUUUCUGAGUAACUGCAGGGAAAAAGUGCUGUGUUCUCUCCGUAAAACAGUGUUUGUGAGUAACACCUGUUCUUCAGAAGUAUCAGGCAGUGCCUUGUAAGUCUGCAGGAACUUUGAGAGUUUUAGGCUACCUAUGAAUAAGGUUAAGUUCUUACAGCUGAAGGGAGGGGAAUUGCAGUGCUGGCAUAAGGAAGGUUAUGAGUUGAAUUUAGCAAGAAUUUGUCUGGGGACUGAGCUGGUUUCAUUCUUUCUUUCCUGCAUGCAAGUAAGGGUGUGCCAGCAGAAUUUAUUGAUUAUAAAAUUUGAGAGGCCAUUGUCUGCGUAGAAGGGAACUGGAGCAGAUUUUGGAAUGAUUCAGAGAACUCUGAAGCCUGCAAUAACAGAAGUGGGAUGAAAUGUAGUAGAACAAAGGGCAAAAUCAUUUACCUAAGGACCCAUGAGAAUUUUGGCUUUGAGCUCAUCAGUUAGAAACAACCAAAGGAAAGUCCUCAUGAAUUCAUCACAAAAUGACCACCCUCACACACUAUAUACAUACCUCCAUGGUGUAUCAGGCAAUCUUUUUUUCCAGAAGAACUGGGGAAGCACAUAAGCCACCUUAGCUUAGUGAGAGAGACCAUCCACAGCAUGUCUUGUUGUAGUCAGCUGCAGUGAGGAAAGAUAAAUACUAGGGGGAAAAGGUGUGGAGCAGGGUUAGUAAGAUGGCCAGGAAACUGGAGUUACUGCUAUAUGGAUAAGCGUAAAGAUUUGCCUUGAUUAAUCAAAGAAAAUGAAGUCUGAGGAAGAUGUCAUUGCUCCCUUUAAAUAAUAGAUGUCAAGGAGACAAGAGAUAUUGAAAGCUAGAAGAAAAAGCUGGUCCAGGAGAAAUGACCAUACAUUUAUUCUGGCUGGAAAUGAGGAGGAGAAAGAACAAGACUAAAUGACAUUUGCUGAUGUAUUGGAAACAGAGUGGCUGAUGACGUGGGGAUCGCUGUCAGGCCACUGGCUCAGGACACUGCAAGCCUGGAGCAGAGGGUGUGCUCCAGGCUCUGGUGUCUGCAGUCACGGCCCACUCUCAAGGCAGGGAGACACUGAGUUUGCCUCCCAUGAGGUACUUCAGUGCUUCUCCCACAGAAGUUGUUUGCCUGGUUGUCUCCUACUUGUUUCCUUUCUCCCUUGAAGGCUCCUGUUGCUCCCUUUGCCUUCAUUUACAUCCUAGUCUUGUGGAUCUGUUAUAGUUGUGUUCAUGGUAGCCCACUAUUUUGGAGCUCCACAGGGCUGAAACAGCUAGAAAUUCAACUCCAGUGGUUUUGUAGGUGAGACAAAUGCCUCCAAGUUUGAGUUUGCUGUGCAAAGCCAUGGACAGGACAAAGACUGGCAGGCAACAAGAGCUACUAGCAGCACAAAUUCUGCUUUUCUGACAAAAUCCUUUAGAUUCUAUUUAGUGAAGCCACAUCCAGUUAAGCCACAACUUAAGUCAGAGUAACCAUGGAUGAAAAGCCCCACAUAGAGCUUUAGGUUAAAUGGGAGCUUUGUGGUCCCACAAAGGAACCCUUUUUCCAGAAAUAAACACAGAGUUGCUCCUACAUUAAUGUCUUGUUUAGUCUGGAUGUCAAUCUGUACUUAAAAUACGUAAUGAUAGAUAAAUAUAUCUGUGUGUGCGUGAGCCAGAUCAGAUGCAGAAGUGCUCUGAUGUAACUCGGGUGCUGGGACUAUGUUCUGAUUUAUUUUUUUCUGCUCUUUGAGACUACAAACCUGAGGGCUUUCCAAAAGUUGCCUCAAUUCAGGGAUUCUGAGUUCUGUGAUUAGGUGGGAACCACAUCACUAUGUUGUCUUAAAAACAGCCAGGCAGGUGCCCUGAUUACAUCUCUGCAGGCUGGAUCCAGCAACAGGAAGCUGAUCUAGGGAUAAAGCAGUGCAGAGUGUGAUACACUGUGGUUUCUCUUCUGUUAUUAUCUUUAAGGUGAAGUAAAAAGAGGGAAAAAAAGAAAUGUAAAUGAUCAGUUCAAACAAGCUAUUUGCAAAAAUCUGCCAGAUACUCCGGUCUGUUCUAUCUAAAUGUGGUUGCAAUAUUUUGCAUUAUACUACUUGGUGUUUAAUUCCUACAACAAAUAUCUUCUAAUCUUCUAUAUCUUCUGUCUGGCUAGCAGGAUUAACACGCUCCCUAGCCUGGACAGGACUCCUGUUAAAUAUACCUACUGAAUUCAGCUUUAGUUCUGUUUUAAAGAAAAUUAAUAAAUAAAUCAUUUGUGCUGUUUUUAUUCCAUGGCUGUUUUGGAGUAGGGGGUGAGAGGGAAAGGAGGAGCGAGAGAGCACCUGCAGGUGCAACAACAGGUAAGAAGAAGACAGCAAGCAUGUUCUAGUGUGGGGUAUAAAGACAGCGGGGAUAUAUUCAUAGCAUAUGUAUGUGUGCUGCAGCGGGGAGGUAAGUUGGGCUGAAUUUGUUGAUGCAUAAAGUGAGGAUAGAAUAGAGAACAGUUACUUAAAUACUAAGCUUUUCUCAAUGUAACCUACCUGCUUGUAGCGUGGGAUGAAUGCAUGUUAUUGCAGCGCCGGUCUUAGAGCCCACACAGGGGAGAUUUCAUUCAUUUCAAAGGCAAAUGCUCUAGAUUUCAGGACUGCCAAGGUGACAAGGCAUGGAUUGAAACACGUUAAAUAGUUCAUGAUUUCUAGAAGUGUGUGUUUCUUUACGCUUUUUGUCUUUUCAGAGUAUUAACUCUGAACGGUAAUGACCGCAUUUCACUAUUGAACAGACACAGUUUCAGGACUGACCUUUUUAACAGAUGGGAAAGAGUAGAAGUCCUGUUCUUCCCAGAGGGGAACAUGGUAGUUACUGCAACAGAGAGAAAUCACAUUUGUCAGAAGGUAGAAAACAAAGGAGGAAUUACAGUGAGAAGGAGGGACUAUUGUUCUAAAAAGAGAAACUUGCUUUCCUCUGAUCCACUCUCCAAAGACACAACAGGAUGCUUGAAUUCAACAGAAAUUUUAUUUCCCUGUAGGUAACUCUAAAGGCUGGGCUCAGCCUCCAUUAUUUCCACCUACUCUUGAUAUCAAAAAGGAAUCAGCCGUAGGUUUAGGUUAAGCCUAAUGCUGACGCUGCGCGUUCUGUCCAAGAGUUUGCCUGCAAAUUGUGUCAGAGCAAAAAGCCUGGAAAGUUUUGAGAAUGAGUUGCGAGACGUGGCUGUAUGAGAAGGCUGGCAUCCCUCUUGUAACAAUAGCAGCAUACAAUCUGUGUUCUGUGCUAGCUAAUCUUAAGAUGGAGGAACAAAAGGUAGGUUGUAGUAACACUUUUUCCCCCUUAAGUCUGUUCAUAUAAAGCAACUUUAAUUCAUGUAAAGGUUAGAAAUUUUAUUUACUGAUUAAACGCAGGACUGGAAUUACUUGUUAUUUCUCUAGCAGAUAGCAAAUUGUAACUAUGUUCUUCAGUCAGACGUUAACUCUAGGAGAUUUCUACAUAGAAAUAAGCGAAAUUACAGAAAUCCCGAUAACCUUAUUUAUUCUGGUUGCAAUAAAAACAGCUAUUCUAAUAUGAUUAGGUAACAACAGUACUGUUGUCUACAGUGCCAACUGUUACGUCCUUUGCUGCUUGUGUUUCAUUACUACCUAAGAGGCCCUGGUCCCAAGCCAGGACCCUGUUGUGCUAGGCAUGGCUCAAACGAUCAUCUUUAGAGCAAAGAGCUUACAGUGUUUAUGGUGCUUUUGGUUUCCAAUGCAUCAUUUGUAACGACAGCUACUGUUAAAGCUUUAAUUUAUUUAGAGAAUAAUUUUGUUGGUUGUUUCUUUUAUGCUUCAACAAAGUAGCUCGAACCCAAACAGCUGUUUGCUUUACUGAACAGCCUGUAAUAAAACCAAUAAAUAUCUGAUCUUUGUACUGCGUUGAACAGCACAAAACGGUUGAUAGCAUCAUUAGCUUCUCUUUAGCUACUCACUUAGCCUUUCAUAGGAAUCAAAUCCAUGUACGUUGGUAGGAAAGUGGAGCAUAAAGAGCUCCCUCUGUGCAUUAGCAUAUGCUUUUUUUCUUUUAAAAUUAAAGUGUAUUCUGCAUUUCCUUACAGUUAAAUACAUCGCAUUACGUUUACCUGAAAGUUUCCAGGUUAAAAAGUCCCAUGCUUGCAUAUGAGGUCUUUUUUUCCAUAAAGAAUUGCAUUUUUUUUUUCCCCUGAAAAACAAAACAAAUAAACAAACCCUGAAAACUCUGCAUGGUUUUGUGCCUUCCUAAAAGGGAAAAAAAAAAUAAAAAAAAUAAAAAAAAGCCAGGAAAAAGACAUGGCCUUCCCAGCUUUAUUAGCUGAGGUGAGGUGCUAACCCCUCAUCCAUCACAUAUCCUAUCGCUUGUAGAGGAACUGUCUGCAUGGCACUUAUCUCUG